AGUCGAGGGGUAGAAGGAGCUUGCUCCUUUGAGACCGGCGCACGGGUGCGUAACGCGUAUGCAAUCUACCUUUUACAGAGGAAUAGCCCAGAGAAAUUUGGAUUAAUGCCUUAUAGUUUAUGCUUGUGGCAUCACAUACAUAAUAAAGAUUUAUCGGUAAAAGAUGAGCAUGCGUCCCAUUAGCUAGUUGGUAUGGUAACGGCAUACCAAGGCAAUGAUGGGUAGGGGUCCUGAGAGGGAGAUCCCCCACACUGGUACUGAGACACGGACCAGACUCCUACGGGAGGCAGCAGUGAGGAAUAUUGGUCAAUGGAGGCAACUCUGAACCAGCCAUGCCGCGUGCAGGAAGGCGGUCCUAUGGAUUGUAAACUGCUUUUAUACAGGAAUAAACCUAUCCUCGUGAGGAUAGCUGAAGGUACUGUAGGGAUAAGGAUCGGCUAACUCCGUGCCAGCAGCCGCGGUAAUACGGAGGAUCCAAGCGUUAUCCGGAAUCAUUGGGUUUAAAGGGUUCGUAGGCGGUUUAAUAAGUCAGUGGUGAAAUCUCCUAGCUUAACUAGGAAAUGGCCAUUGAUACUGUUAGACUUGAAUUAUUGGGAAGUAACUAGAAUAUGUAGUGUAGCGGUGAAAUGCUUAGAUAUUACAUGGAAUACCAAUUGCGAAGGCAGGUUACUAUCAAUACAUUGACGCUGAU
This 691-nucleotide ribosomal RNA is filed under the name uncultured Bacteroidota bacterium. Its description in RNAcentral is "bacterial SSU rRNA". It matches the Rfam family "Bacterial small subunit ribosomal RNA", at positions 60 to 750 of the family's 1533-position model. Lineage: Bacteria; Pseudomonadati; Bacteroidota. The record is from RNAcentral.